UUCGAUUAAGCCAUGCGAGUCGCGAGUCUUAGGGACUCGGCGUACCGCUCAGUAACACGUGGGUAACCUGCCCUAUGCUGGGGAAUAACCUCGGGAAACUGAGAAUAAUGCCCCAUAGUUCACCACGCCUGGAACGGUGGGUGGAUCAAAGCUCCGGCGGCAUAGGAUGGGCCUGCGGCGUAUCAGGUCGUAGGGGGUGUAAUGUACCCUCUAGCCAUCGACGCGUACGGGUGUUGGGAGACAUUGCCCGGAGAUGGAUUCUGAGACACGAAUCCAGACCCUACGGGGUGCAGCAGGCGCGAAAACUUGGCAAUGCGAGAAAUCGUGACCAGGGAACUCCAAGUGCAUCGGGUAAGACCGAUGCUUUUCUUGACUCUUCAACGGUCUUGGAAUAAGGGGUGGGUAAGGACGGUGCCAGUUGUUGUGGUAAUAUUGGUGUUUUAAGUGGUAGUUGUUUUUAUUGGGUUUAAAAUGUUUGUAGCCGGUUUGGUACAUUCGUGGGUAAAUCAAGGCGCUCAACGUCUUGAAUUCUGCGAGCACGGCCAGACUUGGGACCGGGUGAGGUGUGGGGUACUCUCAGGGUAGGGGUAAAAUCCUGUCAUCCUGAGAGGACCACCUGUUGCGAAGGCGCCACACUAGAACGGAUCCGACGGUCAGGGACGAAGCCUAGGGGCACGAACCGGAUUAGAUACCCGGGUAGUCCUAGGUGUAAACGCUGUGGACUUGAUGUUGGGAGUGCUCCGAGCACCCUCAGUGUCGAAGCGAAGGUGAUAAGUCCACUGCCUGGGGAGUACGGUCGCAAGGCUGAAACUUAAAGGAAUUGGCGGGGGAGCACUGCAACCUGAGGAUUGUGCG
RNAcentral lists this ribosomal RNA (855 nucleotides) under uncultured archaeon. RNAcentral's name for it is "bacterial SSU rRNA". It matches the Rfam family "Archaeal small subunit ribosomal RNA", at positions 39 to 899 of the family's 1478-position model. The record is from RNAcentral.